CCUACGGGGGGCAGCAGUGAGGAAUAUUGGUCAAUGGACGAGAGUCUGAACCAGCCAAGUAGCGUGAAGGAUGACUGCCCUAUGGGUUGUAAACUUCUUUUAUAAAGGAAUAAAACGAGGCACGUGUGCCUUUUUGCAUGUACUUUAUGAAUAAGGAUCGGCUAACUCCGUGCCAGCAGCCGCGGUAAUACGGAGGAUCCGAGCGUUAUCCGGAUUUAUUGGGUUUAAAGGGAGCGUAGAUGGGUUGUUAAGUCAGUUGUGAAAUUUUGCGGCUCAACCGUAAAAUUGCAAUUGAUACUGGCAGUCUUGAGUACAGUUGAGGUAGGCGGAAUUCGUGGUGUAGCGGUGACAUGCUUAGAUAUCACGAAGAACCCCGAUUGCGAAGGCAGCUUACUAAACUGUGACUGACAUUGAUGCUCGAAAGUGUGGGUAUCAAACAGGAUUAGAUACCCUAGUAGUC
Molecule: ribosomal RNA, 460 nt
Filed under: uncultured bacterium
Lineage: Bacteria
Description: partial 16S ribosomal RNA
Rfam family: Bacterial small subunit ribosomal RNA
Source: RNAcentral